This 262-nucleotide ribosomal RNA is filed under the name uncultured bacterium. RNAcentral describes it as "partial 16S ribosomal RNA". It matches the Rfam family "Bacterial small subunit ribosomal RNA", at positions 515 to 776 of the family's 1533-position model. The record is from RNAcentral.
CCGCGGUAAGACGGAGGGUGCAAGCGUUAUCCGGAAUCACGGGGCGUAAAGGGCGCGUAGGCGGUCUGUUAAGUCCGAUGUUAAAUCCCGGGGCUCAACCCCGGAUCAGCGUUGGAUACUGGCAGGCUAGACGGUUGGAGAGGCGAGUGGAAUUACCAGUGUAGCGGUGAAAUGCGUAGAUACUGGUAGGAACACCCAUUGCGAAGGCAGCUCGCUGGACAACACGUGACGCUGAGGCGCGAAAGUGUGGGGAGCAAACCGG